CAACAAUAAUAGUUAAAGAUAUAGAGAGUGUUAAUAAAGUAAAGGAAGUAGUACAGAUGUUUUGUAGGGGAUCAGGAGGCAAGUUAAAUGAAGAAAAAACAACAUAUGUGAGAUUUGGAGGAGUAAAUGUUUUAACGGAUUAUUUUCAUUUUAAAGAAACAAAAGAAAUAAGGAUUUUAGGUGUUCUAAUGGGAAAAGACGAAAGGAAUGUUAAAGAAAAAAUGUGGGAAGAAAUAGUAGGAGGAAUUGAAAGAAGGUUAAAUUUUUGGAAAUUGAGGACUUUAAGUUUAAAAAGGGAAGGUUUUAAUUUUAAAUGUUUUAAUGGUGUCAAAGUUGUGGUAUGUUUUAUAUGUGACUGCUAUGCCAAUGUGGGUGGAGAAAAGGUUGAAAAAAUGUUUUUUAGAUUUUUUAUGGAAUAGUAAACCGUCAAGAAUUGCAUAUAGUACAUUAAUAGGAGAUGUAGGGAAAGGAGGGAUGGGAUUAAUUGAUAUUGAACAGAGAAAAAAUAGCUUAAGAAUUAAAAUAGUAAAAAAAUAUCUAGAUGAUGGUCACAAAACUGCAUGGAAAAAGACAAUGGAAUAUUUUUUAAACAAAUGUGGGGAUUUUAACAUGGGGGAUGGGAUUUUAUGGAUGAAAACAAAGAAUUGGAUGACAGAGUGCUUACCAGAGUUUUAUAGGGAAAUGUUUAGUGCCUGGGGAAAAUUUUUAGAUAGACUUGAGUAUGAUCCACAUGGGAGAGAAAACAUUUUAAAUCAACCUCUGUUUUUAAACCAAAACAUUUUAAAACAAGACAAAGGAAUUUUUUUAAAGAAAUGGAUGGAAGUGGGGAUAACAAGAGUGAGAGAUGUUUUGUAUGAAUUUAAAGAAGGGUUUUUACCGACACAAUUUAUUGUAGAUGCAAUGGAGGAGGUGUAACAGGUGUUAUAUAAAUUUAUUAAUUUCACACAAAAUCCCUCCCUUUGUUAUUAUCAAUUAUUUUAUAUUUAUAUAAUUAUUUUUAUAUUCUGGGAAUUUUUCUUUCAUCUGGAAUGUUAUUUGAGCUGUUUCUAUCCUUGUAUGUAAAUUUUUCAGUGUUAUUUUGUAAUUGUUAAAAUAUAGUACGUGGCCCCUUUAAGAGUUAGGUUCCGGUUGUUUUCCUUCAGUUCGCGGUAAGCGCAGCUGGGGAAAGGUCAAUGUUGAAAUUGUGGAGAAAGGCCACGGAUUGACACUUUUUUCAUAAAUUUUCCUUUUUAUUCAUUCAGAAUAAAAAAAGUGGUCCAAAGAAUCUCUUGUUGUCCGGUCUGGUUAAAAUAUCAACACAACGCAGAGAGAAGAUAAAGACCGGUCACAAUGGUGCCGUGACUUUUCCUUGAUGCAAGUCAUCGUGGAUCCUCUUUGAUCAACGUCAGCUUGGUCGCCGGGGUUUGCUGCAUUCUGGAGCGCCCAAAUUAUGACUGUACCUGUGUCAAAGAAAAAAGGUUGGACAUUAGACUGUACAUAAUUCAGAAAAAGAUUGAUAGUUCAUAUUCUCGGAAGAGAGGAAAAAAGUAGUAGUGAAGUUUGAAUUUGUGAUACAAAUUUUGUUUGAUUAUUUGAUUGUGUAUUAUUUCUGAGCUAUCUACACAGUUUUUUUUCUGUGGUCAUCAUCUGUUCUAAUUUACUUUUGUUGAUUUGUAAUAUUCAAGAUGUCACAAAAUAGUGAGAAGACAAGUUACUCCUCUAGUGAUGGGUUUGAAUUGGGUUUUGCCAGGGGACGUAUCUUUGGUGAACUUGAACAGACACCACUAAGAAGGACAGUUAAUAUUGGUUCUCCUGAUUUCUGUUCAACCCGUAAUCCUGUUAGAGUUCAUACAACUGAAUCAGAAAAGUGUGAAGGUGUUGCAUCAGGCAGUACUAGUAAUGCUGAUUUGAGUAGUUUAAUCACACAGCUUGCACAACAAAUAGGGCAGUCAAUAUCUGAUCAGCUGAAAAAAGACAAUGGAAAAAACGAGUGUCCUGAUAAAACACAGAGCCUAGGGACGAAUCAGGUUCUCAUGGAGUCACCUUCUCUAAAUUUGACUGGUAUGAAGUUAGUGAUGAAGCCUGAUGUCAAGGUACCUCCCUGUUUCAGAGGGGAUGGAUCUGACAAAUUAUCAGUACAUGAAUGGGAAGAACUCAUGGAUGUUUAUUUGAGGAAGAAAGGUGUUCCUUUAGUUGAACAAGCGGACGAG
Cyprinus carpio carpio is the source of this 2189-nucleotide long non-coding RNA. The record is from Ensembl. Lineage: Eukaryota; Metazoa; Chordata; Actinopteri; Cypriniformes; Cyprinidae.